This 405-nucleotide long non-coding RNA is filed under the name Homo sapiens (human). RNAcentral's name for it is "HSALNT0328232". The record is from RNAcentral. Lineage: Eukaryota; Metazoa; Chordata; Mammalia; Primates; Hominidae.
ACCAGGGCAGGGCUGGCUCCCACAGAUUCAGGGUCUCAGUCUGCCACCCUAGCUGGAGUGCAGUGGUGUGAUCAUCGCUCACUGAAGCCUGGAACUCCUGGGCUCAAGUUUCCUCCUGCAUCAGCCUAAGUAGCUGGGACUACAGGUGUGCAUCACCACCGUGCCUGGCCUGAAAAUAUUUAUUGAAAACCACCUUGUGUACAGAGUGCUGUGGAAGGAUGAAGAAGACAUUGGAGAUCUUCAUUCUGUUGUUGAGGAACUACCAUCUAAAUUGGAGCUGAAAGCCUGUGAAAAUUGAUGUAAAUGCUUAUGAAAUAGCGGAGAAAGGACAAAUGAGCACUUCGACAAAGAAAGGGGAGGGACAGGAUAUUUUGUGUUUCUUCCCACUCUGACAGUGGCUGCCAG